CGGCAGCAGGCCCCGCAAGGGGCGCUGGCGAGCGGCGAAGGGAGAGUAACGCGCGGGUACCUGCCCUCGGGACCGGGAUAGCUGCGGGAAACUGCAAUUAAUACCGGAUAAUGUCCCUGGACCAAAGGUGAGAUUCCGCCUGAGGAGGGGCCCACGUCCUAUCAGCUUGUUGGUGAGGUAACGGCUCACCAAGGCGACGACGGGUACGGGGUGUGAGAGCAUGCCCCCGCUCACUGGGACUGAGACACUGCCCAGACACCUACGGGUGGCUGCAGUCGAGAAUCUUCCGCAAUGGGCGAAAGCCUGACGGAGCGACGCCGCGUGCGGGAUGAAGGCCUUCGGGUUGUAAACCGCUGUCAGAGGGGAACAAAUUCAUGGGGGUCCUCCCCUGUGUUUGAGUGAUCCUCAGAGGAAGCGCAGGCUAAGUCCGUGCCAGCAGCCGCGGUAACACGGACUGCGCGAACGUUAUUCGGAAUCACUGGGCUUAAAGCGUCCGUAGGCGGUCGUGCAGGUGGGGUGUGAAAUCCCUCGGCUUAACCGAGGAAUUGCGCUCCAAACCACAUGGCUGGAGAGAGAUAGAGGUGAGCGGAACUCACGGUGGAGCGGUGAAAUGCGUUGAUAUCGUGAGGAACACCGGUGGCGAAAGCGGCUCACUGGGUCUCUUCUGACGCUGAGGGACGAAAGCUAGGGGAGCGAACGGG
RNAcentral lists this ribosomal RNA (701 nucleotides) under uncultured bacterium. RNAcentral's name for it is "bacterial SSU rRNA". It matches the Rfam family "Bacterial small subunit ribosomal RNA", at positions 67 to 776 of the family's 1533-position model. The record is from RNAcentral.